UACGGAGGGGGCAAGCGUUGUUCGGAAUUACUGGGCGUAAAGGGCUCGUAGGCGGCCAACUAAGUCAGACGUGAAAUCCCCAGGCUCAACCUGGGAACUGCGUCCGAUACUGGAUGGCUUGAAUCCGGGAGAGGGAUGCAGAAUUCCAGGUGUAGCGGUGAAAUGCGUAGAUAUCUGGAGGAAUACCGGUGGCGAAGGCGGCAUCCUGGACCGGCAUUGACGCUGAGGAGCGAAAGCCAGGGGAGCAAACGGG
Molecule: ribosomal RNA, 253 nt
Filed under: uncultured bacterium
Lineage: Bacteria
Description: partial 16S ribosomal RNA
Rfam family: Bacterial small subunit ribosomal RNA
Source: RNAcentral